AUUUUAGACGCACUCCGGUAACUUAAUAUUCGCUUGGUUCCUACGCGGGACUGGGAGGCGAGCUGUUGUUAUUAUUUUACCUGCAGGAAAAGGUAGUCGACACCACCCCCCUUUUCUACACCCAGCCAUACAGCAAAAGACAGUGGUACAAGCAUUUCACAGCAGCUGCUGCUUUUUACAGAAGUGGAAAAAUAUAUACACAGCUAGACAAGUACACCAUUUUUUGCAAGCCAAUACCUGGUGAUAAGAAGGUGACGUAUGGUAUAUUUGCCCUGUGGUUUUUUUUACGCAGAAUGACCCUACCAAUCAAUUAAAACUUCAGUCUGCCAUUUUAACCACUGCCUUGUUUCAAAGGCGACAUACAGAGAGGAUUUAGCUAUCUUACCGGGGGUGGCAGACAUCUUCUCAAACCACUAAUAAAAAUGGACUCUGAUGAGCCCACAAAAGCCAGGAGUUCCAACUGCAUGUGUAUUUCUCCAAGUUCUUCUUGCCAGUUCUCCCACCUGAUAGAACAGCUCCUACAACAA
This is a long non-coding RNA of Xenopus tropicalis (tropical clawed frog), 527 nucleotides long. RefSeq lists it as uncharacterized. The record is from RefSeq and is a predicted model, not a curated record. The transcript is spliced from 4 exons. Lineage: Eukaryota; Metazoa; Chordata; Amphibia; Anura; Pipidae.